GCAGACGGAAUGCGCUGAGUGGUUUGGUGUCUCUGGACCACAUUCAGAACAAACCUCAUUGUUCCUUUCCUUCUCCAGCUCCUGUCCCAAAAGAAUAAUUAAACAUCAACAUCCAGAGAGCGACUUCAAAAUAUGUUCUCGUUUUCUCCCAAUUGCAAAGGAGAACUGUCAGGGGAUGCAAAAGAAAAUACAUUUGACUAGAAGCAAACAUUUGAACGGAGAAUACAUUAACAACAAAUGUAAGCUUCACACUUGGUCUGCAUACAUAAACAGAACAGAAAUGAUGGAAUACUUAAGUCCUUGUCCAGUGAACUCUAUAUCUUUUGGGAUUCUGCUCACUUGUCCUGUCAACAUUCAGAUGAGAUGAGGAUCUGAAGACAAGAAGCCUGUGCCAAGAGAAGGAAAGUGGUGUACAUCUGGACUCCAGAUUUUCUAAGCUCUAUAGCCCUCAUUUCAAAGGAGAAGCAGAGGAGGAAGAUUCUACGGGGGCUGAAAAAGCAAAGAACUUUCACCAGUGGAACUUGCUCUGUUUACAGGCUUUGGAGUGCUAAUAUUUGAAAACUCACAUUGGAGUAGAGUAUCAAAUUCUAUAGGCAAAAUAGCUAUCAGGCCAAUACUCUAAAAAUUGCAUAACAAUUUCUUCUUUUUCCUGUCCACUGCACACCUUGGUAAUAUAUUUAAAAAUAAACCUUGUUUCAAAGCAUUGCAAUGUUUUCCUGUGUGUACCUUGCAGCCAGUUUUUAUGUUAUGUUCGUAGUCUGCGGUUGUGACCAGCUUUUUCCAUUGCUCAG
Molecule: long non-coding RNA, 791 nt
Organism: Rattus norvegicus (Norway rat)
Lineage: Eukaryota; Metazoa; Chordata; Mammalia; Rodentia; Muridae
Source: RefSeq, a predicted model, not a curated record